RNAcentral lists this long non-coding RNA (427 nucleotides) under Olea europaea (common olive). RNAcentral describes it as "long non-coding RNA (OEUR_LNC012747)". The record is from RNAcentral. Lineage: Eukaryota; Viridiplantae; Streptophyta; Magnoliopsida; Lamiales; Oleaceae.
GAUGCGAUUGCACCUUUGAUCGGUGCUGGGGGCAACAACAGAAAUACAAAUUGAUUCAAGGCCACCUAGAAAACAAAAAGGAGAGACUAAUGACUCUAUUAAAACAUAAACCCAGAAAGGUAAAGUGCUUAAAAUGUGAGAAUGAGGAGAAAAAUGGGGUCUACUGAGAAGCAAACCCACCUACAAAUUAACCAAAACAAUUGAUUAGUGUAAGGAUUUGCAAAGUAAAUUGAAGAAAAUCAAGACCAAAAUCUGAAAAUAAAAGGAACGGUUUUCCCCUUUAUAAUUCGGCUCAGAAACUUGAUCCACACCACAAAGGUAUCUCCAAUUUGAAGGCCAUUAUUAGUCACACAGACAGAUUCACAAAGAAAAGGCAAGAGAGGAUUGGUUUGCACUAAGCAGGGAAGUUUUUCUUCCUCUUGUUUUU